Molecule: long non-coding RNA, 3307 nt
Filed under: Podarcis lilfordi (Lilford's wall lizard)
Lineage: Eukaryota; Metazoa; Chordata; Lepidosauria; Squamata; Lacertidae
Source: RNAcentral
GUCUCUCUCUCUCUCUCUCUGCGUGCGUGUAUUUAGUAAAAUCGUAUUUUAGACUCUCAUUUACGCGAACAAGAUGAGAUUGCAUGAUUGGAGACGGUAUAUCGGGCACAGAGUCAACUGCUGUAUUCCGAUCCUGCCUUGCAGAUUCAAGUUUCCCCUCUUGGGGGGGCACCUUCGACUAUGACCCUAAACCAGGUAAGUCAGGAGUUAAUUCCAGGAAAUUCAACAGGCUUUGCUUCUCACCUGUGGAGACUAGGAUGCUAGGCGGGCUUACGAGGGAGGAAGGAAGUCCCUACAGACACACCUUCCAUAAACCCCUUUGGGCUGCCAAAAAGACACACCUGGGUGCAGAGACUGCAGGGAGGCAUCAAGGCCCUCUUUCAUUGACUGUAUGCACAACAUCCACUUAAAGCGCCCCCCGCCCCAGUCCUGGCACUCGGAGCUCUCGCAGGGGUCACCUGCCACUUUAUUGACGUCCCCUGAAAAACGGAGGCGUCCCCUUCCUGUCUGCUGCGGGAGGGAGCCUCUCCCGGGACACACCGGGAUCCAAUCAGGUCCAACCGGUUCAGCCCUUUAUAUUCUUGGGGCGUCUAGGUUGCUGAGUCCACCGCGAGGAUCCGCAGUAAGUGUUGAUUUUUUUUCCCUCCCCGUGCUCCACAAUGGAAAUGUUAUAGCUCUGUUUGCUGAACAGUUUCGCUUUUUAUUCUUGAAAUUGUGAGUUCCUGUAAUCUCCAUCCCUGUCAAACUAUGGGGGGUGCUAAUGAAUGUGGCUUGGAUCUGCAAUUGGAGUCCAUCUGAGUUAGCUGUUUAUCUAACCUCUUCCGCAGGUGGAGAGGUUUGCUGGAUGUGGAGUGAGUUUUCCUGCUCUAGUUUACAGCCCGUCACCCUGUGAAUUCCGACUUACUUUCCCCCAUGGGCUCUGUGGGGGCGCCAGGGGGGAGGGGGCGAAAUGGGAGCUGCCUCUGAGACUGGGGUAUUCGUUGGGGUAUUCUGGUUCAUGAAGGCGGUUGUGUGUGAGAAGGGAGUUUCUUGGGGAAAGUGGGACAGGAUGGCUAGGUGGCGUGGACGAAAGUGCCAGAACUGCUUGAGGCAAUACAGAAACGUGUGGUUUAAUCUCCCCAUCAACAGCCACUUAGACUAGCUCAAACUCAAAAAAAAAAUUCAGGUAGGUAGCCGUGUAGGUACCUUAUAACAAGAACAAACUUAGUUGGUCUCUAAGGUGCGACUGGACAAUUUUAUUUUUUUAUAUAUUUCACCAAAAAUGUGCUAGUUAAAGAAAGGGAAGAUCCACAGCGAAACAGACACAUUGGGAACCUCACAUAUGGUACAAUUUAGUUCAGGUGCCUUGGACAUGACUAUUUAAGCAGUAUGCAAAAUGCCCAAUUAAAUGAUACCAUGUAUUGAUUAUAGAUCCCAAAGAAUAUGGGAAGUAAGGGUUUGUCCAUCUGUUUUCAUAGAAGCUAGAGAUAGCUGUGAGGCUCCCAAUAUGCCUGUUUGUCCGUGAAUCUUCCCAUUUUUCAUUAAACUAGCUCAAACUUAGUGCACAAACUUUCAAAAACUUGAAUUUAAAUGUUGAGGUGACCUGAAUACACCUUUGGUCACUCUUUCCUGUUCUCUUUGUCGUCCUUUGCAGCACUGCCAUUCUGUGGCCCGCAGGAAGCAGCAGAGGGUCUUGCACCACUUUCCACCUGCACACCUUCACUUGAUGGAUCAAACAUGGUCUAGUGGCAGAACCGUAGCCCUCAGCUGACUCUCCGUUAUCGCGAACGCAAAAAACCCCUCCGAAACUUGAACAAGAGGCAGCCUGCACGCUUCCUUCAUGCGACCCUGUUGCAGCUUCAGGUGUUGUACUAGGGUCGCCUGCUUCUCGUAGGUGGGACACAGGCUUUUCUUGAAGGUGGCUUCUGGUGCUGCCUGUAGGUCUGGAUGUUUUAUUUUGUCUUCCUGGUGUGAUGUCGGCCCAGCCCGACGGAAACUGCGGCUCCCAACAGCCACCAGCUGCAGAAGAGAAGAUUGGUUGGCAAUCGGUGCUUUGGCUCUUUUUGGAAUUUGGCCCAGAGAACACUUUCAAAAUGCAAGGUUUAUUGCGGGUUUAAACAAGGUGCAGUGGUGGCAUUGCAGUCCAUGAAGUUUAUAUCAUUCAGGCGCCAUCAUCGUGAUCUGAAAAUACUCCUCUGGAGCUUGAACAAGAGGCAGGUUGCACCCUGGAUGCUAGGGAGGCAGUUGGCCCAGGGGAUCCACGUUGGAGGGAUCUGCAGGAGGGAUCUUCCAAGCAUUUGCCUUCCACUCUUUCACUCUUCGGUUCUGGAAGAGGGAGGGUGAAUUGCACAGCACACUCUAGAAUCUCCACCAGCUGCACCAGACCAGAGUCUCCCUUGAAAGACUUGAACGAGGCUCUCCAGGACCGACUGUGGACCUGUGAUUAUAGGAGGCACUCUGUGCUUCUGAGAAGCCCUAAUAGGUCUGCAUUGGACAGCAGACAGGAGUCAUGUAUUAACUGAUAAAUUUUGGGGUCAGGCUGGUUCUCACUUUCUAGACUCACUCAGCCUCCAGGACAAAAGGUCCUGAGUUGUUCUGGGCUGCAAAGGGGAAGUGGGGUUAGUAAAGCUCAGUUCACCUGCCUUUGGAGGUGAAAGGGUUCCAGGGCUCCAGGUCACCUCUGGAGAAGCGACUCUUCCCACCUCCACUCCCUCCCACCCUUCUCACCCUUCCUCCUCUGUGCACCUGGAAGCAAUUCUGCUAGUGAGGCCAACCAGCAGUGUGCUCCGGUGGUGAUCGGGUUUGGGGACUUGCAGAAUCCCUUGUUGUGGGAUUCCCCGAGCUGCGGAAGAGAAGUGGGUUGUCAGGGUUCACUUUCCCCCCUCCCUUGACAUGGAGAGGGCCAGCACUCUGUCUUGAGGACUAGAUGCUGAACAGCACUGGAGGAACUCUGAGGUGGAGGGAAGAGAAACAACAGAGGUGAAGACUCUUCUGGAACCAAGAAGAUGUGUGAAUUCAUUUCUCACUCCUCUUGCCUGGUGGCAGGGAAGGAACUGAGCAGAGAAGCUGGGGGCGGGGGCUUUCAUGGUCUGCCAAGAUUAUUAUUAAAUUUCUGUACUGUACUGCUCUUUGACUAGGGCUCACAGGGCAGUUUACAAAACAGAAAACACAAAAAUGCAUAGCAUAGUAACAAACAAUAUACGCCAGCUUCUUACUAUUUUAUAUAUUUUUGUAUUCUAAACCACUUUGUGAUCCUUGAAUAAAGGGUGGCAUAGAAAUUUAAUAAAGUGCAAAUUCUGCUGGUAAUUUUUAUGUCAAUAAAAUGGGC